CCGCCCCUUUUACCGACGUAGCCAUGGAGACCGCGCGAGAGCAAGGCAGUUCGUAGAGUUCUCACAGCGAAUGUUUCCGCUCAACUAACAUAAAGAGCUUGCGAGCAGCGCAGCAGUACUGACGGAACUACACGACGAAAACACAGUAUUUUAAAACUAUUUUACCACAUCUCGGCUUUGAUGUCCCCCUUUAUACAACCGUUAAUGCCUCGAAUGUGAAUAAGAGAGAGGAGGGCUCGCUGCUCGAAACCUUUACGUUGGUUAAGCCAUAGAGGACUCUCACUGGUUGCCAGAGGAAAAGAUGUGUGAUGGAAUGGUAGCGUUUCACACGAGAACCCUGUCCUCCCCUUUUUCCACCUCCUCCUCCUCUCUAGCCCACAGGCUGGCUGCCUCCGCGCUUCUCCUCCUCUUCACCCUGCUCCCUCAUGGUCACGCAUCAGGUUGUGCGCGGCCACCUGGUGUGCAGCACGGAGACCUGCUGAA
Long non-coding RNA from Monopterus albus (swamp eel), 483 nucleotides. RefSeq lists it as uncharacterized. The transcript is spliced from 3 exons. NCBI's taxonomy places the organism in Eukaryota, Metazoa, Chordata, Actinopteri, Synbranchiformes, Synbranchidae. The record is from RefSeq and is a predicted model, not a curated record.